GCGGUACCGGUUCACGCUCGAGGGCGACCCGGCGACC
This 37-nucleotide non-coding RNA is filed under the name unclassified sequences. RNAcentral describes it as "L31-Actinobacteria ribosomal protein leader". It matches the Rfam family "L31-Actinobacteria ribosomal protein leader". The record is from RNAcentral.